AGAGUUUGAUCCUGGCUCAGAACGAACGCUGGCGGCAGGCUUAACACAUGCAAGUUGAACGGUAUUUGGUGGUAGCUUGCUAUCAUUGAAGAGAGUAGCGCACUGGUGAGUAACACGUGGGAACGUACAUUGUAGUGGGGGACAACAGAGGGAAACUUCUGCUAAUACCGCAUAAUCCCUGAGGGGGAAAGAUUUAUCGCUAUAAUAUCGGCCCGCGGCAGAUUAGGUAGUUGGUGGGGUAAAGGCCUACCAAGCCUACGAUCUAUAGCUGGUCUGAGAGGACGAUCAGCCACAUUGGAACUGAGACACGGUCCAGACUCCUACGGAAGGCAGCAGUGAGGAAUAUUGGGCAAUGGAGGGAACUCUGACCCAGCCAUGCCGCGUGAGUGAGAAGGUUUUCGAAUUGUAAAGCUCUUUCGGGUGUGAAGAUGAUGACGGUAGCACCAGAAGAAGCCCCGGCAAACUUCGUGCCAGCAGCCGCGGUAAUACGAAGGGGGCGAGCGUUGUUCGGAAUUACUGGGCGUAAAGGGUGUGUAGGCGGUUUAAUAAGAUAGUGGUGAAAUGCCGGAGCUCAACUUUGGAAUUGCCAUUAUGACUGUUAGGCUAGAAUGAUGUAGAGGAUAGCGGAAUACCCAGUGUAGAGGUGAAAUUCGUAGAUAUUGGGUAGAACACCAGAGGCGAAGGCGGCUAUCUGGGCAUAAAUUGACGCUGAGGCACGAAAGCAUGGGGAUCAAACAGGAUUAGAUACCCUGGUAGUCCAUGCUGUAAACGAUGAAUGCUAGUUGUUGGCGUAAGUCAGUGACGGAGUAACACAAUAAGCAAUCCGACGGGGGAGUCAGAGGCAAGAUUAAAAAUCAAAAGGAUUUGAGAGGACCAGCACAAGCCGUUGGAGCAUGUGGUUGCAUGCGAUGCAACGAGAAGAACCUGACCCUCUCUUAUCAUCUUUAUCAGGAGAAGGGAGAGAUUCCUUCUUUCAGUUAGGCUGGAUAAGUGACAGAUACUGCAUGGCUGUCGUCAGAUCAUGUCGUGAGAUGUAGGGUUAAGUCCCGCAAAGAGCGCAACCCCUGAAUUCAGUUGCUAGCAAAUAAAGUUGAGCACUCUGAAAGGACUGCCGGUGACAAGCCGGAGGAAGGUGGGGAGGACGUCAAGUCCUCAUGGCUCUUACGAGAUGGGAUACACACGAGCUACAAUGGUGUCUGCUGAGAGAAGCGGAGCCGUGAGGCGGAGCCAAUCUAUAAAAGGUAUCUCAGUUCGGAUUGUUAUCUGCCACU
RNAcentral lists this ribosomal RNA (1271 nucleotides) under uncultured bacterium. RNAcentral describes it as "bacterial SSU rRNA". It matches the Rfam family "Bacterial small subunit ribosomal RNA", at positions 8 to 1312 of the family's 1533-position model. The record is from RNAcentral.